Amaranthus tricolor (Joseph's coat) is the source of this 608-nucleotide long non-coding RNA. RefSeq lists it as uncharacterized. Lineage: Eukaryota; Viridiplantae; Streptophyta; Magnoliopsida; Caryophyllales; Amaranthaceae. The record is from RefSeq and is a predicted model, not a curated record. The transcript is spliced from 3 exons.
AAUACUAUUAAUAGACAAUUUUUUUUUGGAAUUGAACAUUUUCUGUUAAAAGACUUUACUCCUACAACAAAUGGUGUAUAUGCAUAUAUCACUAAGCAUUUGCAAUAGAGGAAAAGUUAGUCCAAGUCUAGAAUUCUUAUAAUUCUCCAUAUUUCAUUUUUUAAAGCAAAGAUGAGUGACCCCAAGUAUGCUUAUCCUUACCCUGCUCAAGGAUAUUAUCAAGGGCCUCCAGUGAUGGCACCUCCACAAUAUCAGUAUCAAUAUGCUCCACCUCCUCCCAGGAAACAGACUGGUUUUCUUGAGGGCUGUUUGGCUGCCCUUUGUUGCUGCUUCUUGAUUGAUGAAUGCUGUUGCGACCCUUCCAUUAUAUUGAUAUGUUAAUCUUAAGUGAUAAGUGUAAGAUGGUCCUUCGGGUUAAAGACUUGUGUCUCCAAAUAUGUGCACUGCUACUCAACGUCUAUAAAUUAGAAGAUUAUAUAGCUGGCUUUGGUGAAAUCUUGUUAGCUUUUACAAACUUGUCUAUGUAAUCUAUUUUAUAUUUUUAGAUUUGCAAGUUAAUGUGCUUCUAUUAUAAUUUGGAGUAAUUUACUCUAUUUUUAGUCCUUUAA